This 1016-nucleotide ribosomal RNA is filed under the name uncultured bacterium. RNAcentral describes it as "bacterial SSU rRNA". It matches the Rfam family "Bacterial small subunit ribosomal RNA", at positions 357 to 1376 of the family's 1533-position model. The record is from RNAcentral.
AGGAAUAUUGGUCAAUGGCCGAGAGGCUGAACCAGCCAAGUCGCGUGAAGGAAGAAGGAUCUAUGGUUUGUAAACUUCUUUUAUAAGGGAAUAAAGUCACCCACGUGUGGGUGUUUGUAUGUACCUUAUGAAUAAGCAUCGGCUAACUCCGUGCCAGCAGCCGCGGUAAUACGGAGGAUGCGAGCGUUAUCCGGAUUUAUUGGGUUUAAAGGGAGCGUAGACGGGCCGUUAAGUCAGCUGUGAAAGUUUGAGGCUCAACCUUAAAAUUGCAGUUGAUACUGGCGUCCUUGAGUACGGUUGAGGCAGGCGGAAUUCGUGGUGUAGCGGUGAAAUGCUUAGAUAUCACGAAGAACCCCGAUUGCGAAGGCAGCCUGCUAAACCGCCACUGACGUUGAGGCUCGAAAGUGUGGGUAUCAAACAGGAUUAGAUACCCUGGUAGUCCACACGGUAAACGAUGGAUACUCGCUGUUGGCGAUAGACUGUCAGCGGCUUAGCGAAAGCGUUAAGUAUCCCACCUGGGGAGUACGCCGGCAACGGUGAAACUCAAAGGAAUUGACGGGGGCCCGCACAAGCGGAGGAACAUGUGGUUUAAUUCGAUGAUACGCGAGGAACCUUACCCGGGCUUGAAUUGCAGACGAAUUGCUUGGAAACAGGCAAGCCGCAAGGCGUCUGUGAAGGUGCUGCAUGGUUGUCGUCAGCUCGUGCCGUGAGGUGUCGGCUUAAGUGCCAUAACGAGCGCAACCCUCGUGUCCAGUUACUAGCAGGUUAUGCUGAGGACUCUGGACAGACUGCCAUCGUAAGAUGUGAGGAAGGUGGGGAUGACGUCAAAUCAGCACGGCCCUUACGUCCGGGGCUACACACGUGUUACAAUGGGGGGUACAGCAGGCAGCUACCGGGCGACCGGAUGCCAAUCCCGAAAGCCUCUCUCAGUUCGGACUGGAGUCUGCAACCCGACUCCACGAAGCUGGAUUCGCUAGUAAUCGCGCAUCAGCCACGGCGCGGUGAAUACGUUCCCG